This 618-nucleotide ribosomal RNA is filed under the name Triticum aestivum (bread wheat). RNAcentral's name for it is "partial small subunit ribosomal RNA". Lineage: Eukaryota; Viridiplantae; Streptophyta; Magnoliopsida; Poales; Poaceae. The record is from RNAcentral.
GCAAAGGUCCGUUCGAUGGGCCUAAUAGCGAUCGCAACUGCUACAUCCGGUAUAGUGUCUGACAUUGUGAUUGCUUAUACCGACGAUGAAGAACCUAUUAACAAGCUUAUCGAAGAUGUCUUCCCAUCCCUGCACACCAAUGCUAGGUCGAGAGAGUACGUGAGCAGCACACGUGCAAUUCUCUCUACCAAAAAUGAGCAUGUGGAUGACCUGAAUGACAAGAUGAUCUCCAAGUUUCCAGGCGAAGAAAAGGUGUACCAUAGCUUUGGCUAUAUCGAGGAUGACUUCCAGAAUAAUUACACGAUUGACUUCCUGAACUCGAUCACACCUAAUGGGUUGCCCCCGCAUAUCUUGAGAGUAAAAAUCAACUGCCUAGCCAUUUUGCUACGGAACCUCGACCCUCAUAAUGGGCUAUGUAAUGGAACACGGCUUAUGAUCAGGGCCUUCCAGGAUAAUGCAAUUGAUGCAGCGAUUGUUAGUGGCCAGCAUGCUGGAAAGAGGGUGUUCAUACCUAGGAUCCCUAUGUCACCCUCCGAGGACACCUCACUUCCCUUCAAGCUUAAGAGAAAACAGUUCCCUAUCCGCGUGAGUUUUGCGAUGACCAUUAACAAGGUUUUG